Transfer RNA from Cavia porcellus (domestic guinea pig), 72 nucleotides. It matches the Rfam family "tRNA". Rfam says of the family: Transfer RNA (tRNA) molecules are approximately 80 nucleotides in length. Their secondary structure includes four short double-helical elements and three loops (D, anti-codon, and T loops). Lineage: Eukaryota; Metazoa; Chordata; Mammalia; Rodentia; Caviidae. The record is from Rfam.
AGGAAUUUAGCUCAGUGGCAAAGUGCCUGCCUGGCAAGUAUGAGGUCCUGAGUUCAAUUCCCAGUAUGUCUU